This is a long non-coding RNA of Salmo salar (Atlantic salmon), 563 nucleotides long. RefSeq lists it as uncharacterized. NCBI's taxonomy places the organism in Eukaryota, Metazoa, Chordata, Actinopteri, Salmoniformes, Salmonidae. The record is from RefSeq and is a predicted model, not a curated record.
UGUGAGUCAGACACACACACACACUGCUGUUACUCUCCAGUUUCCUUAUACACUGUCCAAGCUCCAACAAGGAUAGAACACACUGAAGAGAGAAGAGGAUUUCAAAACCAAGAAGACACCAGAACAGAAUCUACUUCUUCCAUUUUGUUCAACCAGCUUUCUUUUUGCUCAUCCUUCAGUGAGCCUCUGCAUUCUGUUCAUCAUGGGAAAAGGAGCCAGUGACUUUGAUUGGCAAGAGAAGCACCCAGACACCACACAGUCCCAACCAGAGAAGAGACAACCCAACACAGACUCAGACAAACACCGCUCAGGCUCUGACUCAGGAGAGAACGGCUGUAAGAAGUGCUGCAUCAGGACCAGGAACUGUAUCAUGAGUCCUGAGUGUGGCCGUGCACUACACAUCUCCCAGGUCAUCGCAAUGUGUGGCAUGUGCAUUGGCAUGUGGACAUAGUCCAACCAUCUUUUCUCAAAGGACAACCAUUUGAUAUAUUCGCCAAGACCACAGAGAGAGAAACACAUCAAUGCUUUGACAUACAUUAAAUAAGAGUAUGUAAGCAAAGGAA